UCCGUAGGUGAACCUGCGGAGGGAUCAUUACUGAGUUACCGCUCUAUAACCCUUUGUGAACGUACCUAACCGUUGCUUCGGCGGGCAGGGGAAGCCUCUCGCGGGCCUCCCCUCCCGGCGCCGGCCCCCACCACGGGGACGGGGCGCCCGCCGGAGGAAACCAAACUCUAUUUACACGACGUCUCUUCUGAGUGGCACAAGCAAAUAAUUAAAACUUUUAACAACGGAUCUCUUGGUUCUGGCAUCGAUGAAGAACGCAGCGAAAUGCGAUAAGUAAUGUGAAUUGCAGAAUUCAGUGAAUCAUCGAAUCUUUGAACGCACAUUGCGCUCGCCAGCAUUCUGGCGAGCAUGCCUGUUCGAGCGUCAUUUCAACCCUCAAGCACCGCUUGGUUUUGGGGCCCCACGGCACACGUGGGCCCUUGAAGGUAGUGGCGGACCCUCCCGGAGCCUCCUUUGCGUAGUAACUAACGUCUCGCACUGGGAUCCGGAGGGACUCUUGCCGUAAAACCCCCCAAUUCUUUACAGGUUGACCUCGGAUCAGGUAGGAAUACCCGCUGAACUUAAGCAUAUCAAUAAGCGGAGGA
This 584-nucleotide ribosomal RNA is filed under the name Colletotrichum lupini. RNAcentral describes it as "eukaryotic LSU rRNA". The stretch from base 213 to 366 matches the Rfam family "5.8S ribosomal RNA". The record is from RNAcentral. Lineage: Eukaryota; Fungi; Ascomycota; Sordariomycetes; Glomerellales; Glomerellaceae.